AUACGGAGGGGGCUAGCGUUGUUCGGAAUUACUGGGCGUAAAGCGUGCGUAGGCGGACUGAUCAGUUGGGGGUGAAAUCCCAGGGCUUAACCCUGGAACUGCCUUCAAUACUGUCAGUCUUGAGAUUGGAAGAGGUGAGUGGAAUUCCUAGUGUAGAGGUGAAAUUCAUAGAUAUUAGGAGGAACACCAGUGGCGAAGGCGGCUCACUGGUCCAAUACUGACGCUGAGGUACGAAAGCGUGGGGAGCAAACAGGAUUAGAUACCCUAGUAGUCC
This 274-nucleotide ribosomal RNA is filed under the name uncultured bacterium. RNAcentral's name for it is "partial 16S ribosomal RNA". It matches the Rfam family "Bacterial small subunit ribosomal RNA", at positions 523 to 796 of the family's 1533-position model. The record is from RNAcentral.